This 23-nucleotide microRNA is filed under the name Salmo salar (Atlantic salmon). RNAcentral's name for it is "ssa-miR-101a-5p". Its record names the gene ssa-miR-101a-5p. RNAcentral also lists the same sequence under 1 other name. The record is from miRBase by way of RNAcentral. Lineage: Eukaryota; Metazoa; Chordata; Actinopteri; Salmoniformes; Salmonidae.
UCAGUUAUCACUGUGCUGAUGCU